This 253-nucleotide ribosomal RNA is filed under the name uncultured bacterium. RNAcentral describes it as "partial 16S ribosomal RNA". It matches the Rfam family "Bacterial small subunit ribosomal RNA", at positions 524 to 776 of the family's 1533-position model. The record is from RNAcentral.
UACGAAGGGGGCUAGCGUUGCUCGGAAUCACUGGGCGUAAAGGGUGCGUAGGCGGGUCUUUAAGUCAGGGGUGAAAUCCUGGAGCUCAACUCCAGAACUGCCUUUGAUACUGAAGAUCUUGAGUUCGGGAGAGGUGAGUGGAACUGCGAGUGUAGAGGUGAAAUUCGUAGAUAUUCGCAAGAACACCAGUGGCGAAGGCGGCGACCUGGGUAGAUACUGACGCUGAGGCGCGAAAGCGUGGGGAGCAAACAGG